Mangifera indica (mango) is the source of this 2314-nucleotide RNA transcript. It is a transcript of the gene named 3beta-hydroxysteroid-dehydrogenase/decarboxylase-like, with no coding region annotated. The transcript is spliced from 14 exons. The record is from RefSeq and is a predicted model, not a curated record. NCBI's taxonomy places the organism in Eukaryota, Viridiplantae, Streptophyta, Magnoliopsida, Sapindales, Anacardiaceae.
CGACAACAAAGAAAUGCUGGCCACUGCAAACUCGCACCCGAUAUUAUUUAAAAAAAAAAAAUCACACUGACUGCUCUACUAUUGAAAAACACAGAGUCCUCUGACUCUCCUUUCUCUUUCAUUUCCCUCUGUUAACUCUCAGAUCCUGAAAUUCAAGAUCCAAUCGUCGUGAUGUCCGGGGGGGAGGAGAGAUGGUGCGUGGUGACGGGAGGAAGGGGAUUCGCUGCGCGCCAUUUGGUGGAGAUGCUUAUCAAAUACAAUAUGUUUUCGGUGAGAAUUGCUGAUUUAGGCGCCACCAUUGAACUGGAACCGCACGAGGAGCAGGGAGUCCUUGGCCAGGCUUUGAGUUCUGGCUGUGCUCAGUAUUUCCCUGUUGAUCUUCGACACAAGUUUCAAGUACUUCAAGCAUGUCAAGGAGCUGAGGUGGUGUUCCACAUGGCUGCACCCAAUUCGUCCAUCAACAGUUACCAGCUCCAUCAUUCAGUUAAUGUUGCAGGAACGGCUAAUGUUAUUGAAGCUUGUAUUUUAGGCAAAGUAAAGAGACUUAUUUAUACUAGCUCUGCCAGUGUGGUUUUUGAUGGAAUUCAUGGAAUUAUCAAUGGGAAUGAAUUAUUACCAUAUGCUUCUAAGCACAUUGAUUCUUAUUCAGCUACAAAAGCUGAAGGAGAGAGGUUGGUCAUUAAGGCAAAUGGUGCUAAUGGGCUUCUAACUUGUUGCUUACGCCCCAGCAGCAUUUUUGGUCCUGGUGAUAGGUUGCUGGUUCCCUCUUUGGUUGAUGCUGCAAGGGCUGGAAAGUCUAAGUUCAUAAUUGGUGAUGGCAAUAAUGUUUAUGAUUUCACUUAUGUUGAAAAUGUGGCACAUGCUCAUAUAUGUGCUGAACGAGCUCUAGCUGCAGAAUUGACAGUUGCUGAGAAAGCUGCUGGGCAGACAUAUUUUAUAACCAAUAUGGAGCCAAUCAAGUUUUGGGAAUUUGUCUCACAAAUUCUUGAAGGUCUUGGCUAUAAGAGGCCAAGUAUAAAGAUUCCUGCCCUGGUUAUGAUGCCGAUUGCACACUUGGUAGAGUGUACAUAUAAGCUACUGGGCCCGUAUGGAAUGAAGGUUCCACAGUUAACACCUUCAAGAAUUAGACUUCUCUCUUGCAGCAGAUCUUUUGACUGUUCAAAAGCAAAAGAACGACUUGGCUACACACCUCUUGUCUCACUACAGGAGGGUCUAAGAAAGACAAUUGAAUCUUAUUCAGACUUGAGGGCUGAAAUUCAAUUAAAGAGAGAAGGGCCAUCAAAAGCUUCUAUAUUUCUUGGUAGUGGAAAGGUUGCUGACACACUACUCUGGAAAGAUAAAAAACAGACUCUCACUGCAGUGUUAAUUUUGGUGGCAAUUUACUACAACUUCAUUUUGUCUGGUUCGACCAUCAUUUCUACUCUUUCACAGCUUCUGUUGUUGAUGUUAGUCCUCUUAUUCAUCCACGGAAUGUUACCAGAGAAAAUAUUGGGAUAUACAAUUGAGAAAAUUCCUACAUCACAUUUCCAAUUGUCUGAAGAGAAAUCGCGCCAAGUCACACUGUCUGUGAUCUCAUCAUUGAAUACUGCUGUUGAUGUGUUAAAAUCUCUUUCCAUGGGUAAUGACUGGAUGUUGUUCCUCAAGAUUAUUCUCUCUCUGUUGAUACUAAGCUUCCUUGGGACUAUGCCUUUUCAGAGUGUAUACGCUAUAGGAUUUCCUUUGGCCUUUGUGAUAUUUUAUGUCUACGAGAAAAAGGAGGAAGAAAUUGAUUCCAUGGUUCAGGGCAUUCUCUCCUUCAUGGGCAAAUUGAAAUCUGAUGUUGCAAGAAAACUGCUUACUUCCAUGAAAAAUGACUAAUAAUUGAUGACCAUAAUUUCCUUCCAAAUGAAAAGGUGAUCUCAUCUUCAUUGAUUCCUUAAUUACAGACCUUUAAACUGAUAUGCUAGCACUGCUCUUCCAUAUUUUUUCUUGUACCCACUUUUGUAUUGAAACAUUCUUGUGGAGCCCCCCUGGUAAAGAUACUAUUUAAACUGCUUUUGUUUUGACUUAAUGCCACGCAGUAUGCACCAGGUUUAGAUGCUUCCCUUAUUUGGUCUUUGAGCUAUGCGGUUUCAUUUUUUGGGUUAUGUGUAUAUCAUUUUCCUGCAGUUUUGGCGGAGUAUCUCUGAAUCACAGGAUCAAUUUACCAUUGCUGUCUGCUGGAGGUUUGCUGAAUAAAUCAUGUUAAACUAUUGUAUCAACCCAUAUCAGUAGUAACAUUUUUGUAAUUAGAUAAUUGGGCUAUGAUUAAUUAUCAUGGCUUUUAUUAUGACAA